RNAcentral lists this ribosomal RNA (458 nucleotides) under uncultured bacterium. RNAcentral describes it as "bacterial SSU rRNA". It matches the Rfam family "Bacterial small subunit ribosomal RNA", at positions 340 to 789 of the family's 1533-position model. The record is from RNAcentral.
UACGGAAGGCAGCAGUGGGGAAUAUUGCACAAUGGGCGAAAGCCUGAUGCAGCUAUGCCGCGUGUAUGAAGAAGGCCUUAGGGUUGUAAAGUACUUUCAUCGGGGAGGAAAAACAAAACUAAUAAUUUUAUUUCUUGACGUUACCCGAAAAAGAAGCACCGGCUAACUCCGUGCCAGCAGCCGCGGUAAUACGGAGGGUGCUAGCGUUAAUCAGAAUUACUGGGCGUAAGGAGCACGUAGGUGGUUUUUUUAAGUCAGAUGUGAAAUCCCUGGGCUUAACCUAGGAACUGCAUUUUGAAACUGAAAUACUAGAGUAUCGUAGAGGGAGGUAGAAUUCUAGGUGUAGCGGUGAAAUGCGUAGAUAUCUGGAGGAAUACCUGUGGCGAAAGCGGCCUCCUAAACGAAUACUGACACUGAGGUGCGAAAGCGUGGGGAGCAAACAGGGAUUAGAUACCCGU